Molecule: ribosomal RNA, 449 nt
Filed under: uncultured bacterium
Lineage: Bacteria
Description: partial 16S ribosomal RNA
Rfam family: Bacterial small subunit ribosomal RNA
Source: RNAcentral
AACGAACGCUGGCGGCAGGCCUAACACAUGCAAGUCGAACGCUGUAGCGAUACAGAGUGGCGGACGGGUGAGUAACGCGUGGGAACGUGCCUUUCGGUUCGGAAUAACUCAGGGAAACUUGAGCUAAUACCGGAUACGCCCUAUGGGGGAAAGAUUUAUUGCCGAAAGAUCGGCCCGCGUCCGAUUAGCUAGUUGGUGUGGUAAUGGCGCACCAAGGCGACGAUCGGUAGCUGGUCUGAGAGGAUGAUCAGCCACACUGGGACUGAGACACGGCCCAGACUCCUACGGGAGGCAGCAGUGGGGAAUAUUGGACAAUGGGCGCAAGCCUGAUCCAGCCAUGCCGCGUGAGUGAUGAAGGCCCUAGGGUUGUAAAGCUCUUUCGCCAGGGACGAUAAUGACGGUACCUGGAUAAGAAGCCCCGGCUAACUUCGUGCCAGCAGCCGCAGUAA